AAAAUGUUAAGAUAUUAAUAAUCUAUCAAAUUGUGGUUUUGAUUAUACUAUAGUACAUUUUA
Molecule: transfer RNA, 62 nt
Filed under: Haemadipsa tianmushana
Lineage: Eukaryota; Metazoa; Annelida; Clitellata; Hirudinida; Haemadipsidae
Description: tRNA-His
Source: RNAcentral